Molecule: long non-coding RNA, 1708 nt
Filed under: Citrus maxima (pomelo)
Lineage: Eukaryota; Viridiplantae; Streptophyta; Magnoliopsida; Sapindales; Rutaceae
Description: long non-coding RNA (CMAX_LNC001990)
Source: RNAcentral
AAAAAGAACGUUGGUAGACUAUAUUGUCCAAUCUAUAUUUAUUAUAAUAAUAUAGACAUAGAAUGGAGAAAUUUUGCACCAUAAGUGAGUCAACUCGACGACUCUAGAGUCCGUCUGGAAGAGCUACAUUUAUCCAUUACGCCGUGUCCAAGGUGCAUGGAAAAUUUUGCAAAUGGUACAGCUAAUUGAAGAUCUUGUACUUUCUUUAAGAUAAGAUUGACUUUUGCUUUCACAAGUAUCGAAAGCUUUUUCUUUUCUUCCUCUUGCUCUUUUGCUUUAUUUGAUGAUUUUGAAAUAUUCAUUCAAUACUUAGAUUUUGCAGAAAAUCAAAGUGAACCUUCCCCUAAUCAACUUGUCCAAGAACUACUUGCGCUUUUGUACCAAUCUCUGCACCAUCCUGUAAAGAAAUUUAGAAGUGAAAUUUCUGUCUCGUUCAAGAAACUAAAGAUAAGUAACAAUAAAACAAAGAAAAACAAACACAACUUUUCAAACCUUUUGAAUGCCCAGUACGAUGAACUAUCUUUAAGCCCCUCCCCAGUGAAUACCACCUCAUCAAUUCUUAUCCUCUGAAAUGCUUUUAACUGUCUUCGGCUGCUAUAUGAAUAUUUCGAUAGAUGGUUACAUCAUACUGCGGACAGAACUCUUAAAACACAGAAUCAAACCGAAAGAUAAUUGUCCACGUAUAUAAGAUCAACCAACAAUUCAGGAAAACCAUUUCUAAAUCUAAAUCUAUCCUACUUGAAUUUUAAUUUGAAUUGGAACAUAAAAAUAUUUAUGAGCUCAAAUUUGAUUACACACUUGCAGACACAAAACAUAUUACUAUCACAUGAAAUAUUUGUGAGCUCAACUAGUUUUGUAUACUAAAUUGAUCUGAUGAUACACUGUCUUGAGAUUAUUUUUGUUAGGUUUUUGCUUUUAAUUUCUAAUGAAUUGCUAAUAUUCCAAGACACAUUGCUGGUUCAUUUGCUUGGUCAAAGAUGAUUGAGAGCCAUCGGAGGUAGGAUAAUUUGGAGUUUUGGACUUGCAUACAGUGAGAGAAUUCGUCCAGCGAAAUGGAGAUGUCCAUUCUCAAAUCUCAAUGGCUAGUUUUGCAAAUUAAUUCCGUACCAGAUGAACGGAAAAAAGAAUAGGAAGUUCCAGAAAAUGAGAACAGAAACUGAAACUAAGCUUAAUGCUGUAAUAAGGGUAUGACCAGAAUCAUCAUUAAUACAUGCAACACAAAGAGCAAAUCAGUUUAUGAAAUUAAACCUACCUUGCAUCUUCCUGAUGCUGAUUGCUGUUACGAGUCCAAGAAAAAUGAGAACAGAACUGAAAAUUGGCAUAACUAAUGCUCAAAUAAAUUACAAAAUGCGCUGUCAAAUGUGGAUAAAACACAUAAACUGCGGGCAAAGGCAUUUUUUUUUGGCAUUGUCUUGCAGAAAGCAGCCGGCCUGGGCAAAUCAUCCAUCUGACUCCGAGAGAUCUACAUCAAUAUAUAUUAUGUCAAAGGAGUUGUUAUACACUUAUAAAAUCUAAAGAAGAACAUACUGUAUAUAAUUAAUAGCAUUAAAACCUUGUUUAUGGAUUGAUUUCCUAGAGAACAACUUAAUUACUGCUUCGUACUGCGCAAAAGAAAAAUAUAUUCAUUUACAUCUCUUGGUCCAAGAUGCAGCUGGUUAAUUAGCACUUUACGCGGUGUCACAGAAGCCGCUUCAAAAAUGGAAGCUCG